CUGGUGGUUAACUGUGUCAAAAGCAGCAGACAGAUCCAGCAAGAUGAGUACUGAGGAUUUGGAAGCUGCUCUUGCCAGUCGCAGGGCUUCAGUAACCAAGAGCAGGGCAGUCUCAGUUGAGUGGCCGCUUUUGAAGCCAGAUUUAUUGCUGUCCAGGAGGUUGUUCUGUACAAGAACACAACUCGCUUGAGUGUCUUUGCAAUGAAUGAAAGAAGGGAUACCGGUCUGUAGUUUUCUACAUUGCGUUCCAAAUUAUUAUGCAAGUGAUAUAUCAAUAGGAUUUCGGUACAAUAAAGAGUCAAUAAAGUGGUUUAUCAAGUCUUUUUAGAUAACUGGUAUCAAUCUCAGACAGAUUUGUUCAAUAGUUUGCCGGGUCUUCUUAGGUAAAUGGAAACCCUACUUAAAGAGGUUGUUCCAAAUUAUAAAGCAAGUCACAGUUCUCAUGAAAUAUGGUGAGGAAGAAAGAUCUUUCUGAAGAUGAAAAGUAUGAAAAAAUGUGAUGUCUUGCAAAAGGCAUCAAAACAAACAAUAUUUCACGAAAAGCAAAUAGAAAUUUUUGAACUGUCAAAAGAUUUGUGAGGGACUUACAGCACAGAAGAUCUUGGUCAGAUAAAGAUUUAUUAAGGAGAAUUUCUGUCAAACAAAUGAACUGUAUUGUAAUACCAGCUAUAAAAAAGCCACUGCUGAGCAGCAGACAGGUGUUUGAAGCUACUGGAGUCUCAAGAUCCUCUCCAUGUAGACUGACAGUUGUGUGUAAAGCUUGUGUUUCAGUCACUGCUAACCAAACCUCACAAAGAGAAACCUGCACAGUGGCUGUAGAAACACAUUUACAACUGUUUAGCACAAUGGUAUUUAUGCAGCAUGGGAUAGUUGUUAUCCUGCUUGAAAAUCCUUUUAUUUCCGAGAGCACUAUUCUUCAGAAAAUGGUCAGUUAUGAACUCCACAUAUCUUGCAGAAGUCAUUUUGACACCCUAAAAUGACCUUACAUCUCACUUCCCAAUAUUCCAACCCAAAUCAUCACCCACCACCUCCUUGCUGAUGUUGCCAGUCUCAUUGGAAUAAGAUGACCAUUCAUUAACUAUCAGAAAUCCAUUCAUCUGGACCAUCCAUUGUACUGCAGCAUUCGUAAGUGAAUAAAACUAUUUAAAAACAAGUCUUCAUGUGUUUCUACAGCCACUGUGCAGGUUUCUCUUUGUGAGGUUUGGUUAGCAGUGACUGAAACGCAGCUUUACACACAACUGCCAUUCUGCAUGGAGAGGAUCUUGAGACUCCAGUAGCUUCAAACACCACGGUUCAAUCAUUUCUAUUAGCUUUUUGCAAAAUAUUGUUUGUUUUGGUGCCUUCUGCAAGACAUUGCAGUGUUUUUUUUUUAUAUACUUUUCAUCUUCAGAAAGAUCUUUCUUCCUCACCAUAUUUCAUGAAAACUGUGACUUGCUUAAUAAUGUGGAACAACCUCUUUAAGUAGAGUUUCCAUUUACCUAAAAAGACCUGGCAAACUAUUGACCAAACCUGUCUGAUAUUGAUACCGUUUUUCUAAAAAGAUGUGCAAAACAACACAAACAAAAAUCUGACUCUUUAUUGUACCAAAAUCCUAUUGAUAUGUCACUUGCAUAAUAAUUUGGAACACAGUGUAAAGCCAUACCGGUUAGACAUUUCAUUUGCUGUUCUGCAUGCACUUUUUCUGAGCGCAUACGCAUGAAGCGCGCUCACACUAAGAGCCUUUCAAAAAGUGCCUGAUAACUGGACUAAGUUGUCUUUCGUGUCUGAUCGAUUCUGCAUCUAAUACUGCCAAAAACACACAAGGUUUACAUAUAAACACAGUUGGUUAUGUCUAAAAUUAAAGUAAACAGUUGAGAGAGAAACGUGUGAAGGUCUUAUAGGGACAGUAGUUACUAAACAUGAUGUGACUGUCUUUAAAGGGAUAGUUCAACCCCCAAAAAAUAAACUUCUGUCAUUAUUUACUCACUCACAUUUUGUCCCAAACCUUAAUUUCUUUCUUUUGCUGAAUACAAAAGAAGAUAUUUUGAUGAAUGAGGGUAACCAAACAGUAGCUGGUCCACAUUGACUUUGACAUUAGGAAAAAAAAAUACCAUGGAUGUUACUGGGGACCAGCAACUGAUUGGUUACCCACAUUCUUCAAAAAUAACUUUUAUGUUUAACAGAUGAAAUAAACUAAUUCAGGUUUAAAACAACUUGAGUAAAUGAUGGUGAAAAUGAAACACUAUGACAGAAUUGAAAGACAUGACAAAAAUGUCAUUUUUGGUGAACUAUUCUUUUAAUGUUAAUAAAAAAAAACAGAAACAGAAAAAUCACUCACUGUUUUUAACUGAUAAACUUAUCAUCAGUCAGUUGCUUUUAAAAAAAGUAUAUACAGUAGUGUAUGUAUAUAGUGUUUUAUUUUAAUUUGUUCAUUCAGUUUCUUGAAUGUUACUGCUAAAUACUGUACCUGAAAAAUAAAGCACUGUUUGAUUUAUUUGUAUAUGAUGUGUAUUUGUGAUGUAUAUCUUUGUUCUUUAUUUCUAAUAACAAAGAUUAAUAACAAAGAUU
Cyprinus carpio carpio is the source of this 2547-nucleotide long non-coding RNA. NCBI's taxonomy places the organism in Eukaryota, Metazoa, Chordata, Actinopteri, Cypriniformes, Cyprinidae. The record is from Ensembl.